UUUAGCCCAUAGAAAGCUCAAAUUGGUUUUAGCCCAAAUUAAUAUAUAAUAUUUGUAUUCUGCACUUGUAGGGUAUCCAGUUACAAAAGGUUAAAAAUUAUUAUAUAGGGUAUCCAUCCAGUUACAAAUUAGUAUAUAUUCUUUUCACUAACUAAUUGUGUUUGAAAUCAAGCGGCCACAUAAAAAUUGUUUCAUUUUAGGCGAGAGAAUACAUAGUUGUUUUCAAUAAUACUCUCAAAAUCAUUUUUUUUUUAAAGAAAAAGCAAAAAGAAAACGCUCCUCCGUCACAGCAUUAAGAGUUUCCUCUCUUUUUCUUCUUCAUGAAAAAAGAAAAAGAGAAUAUAUGCCUCUCACGUCUUGCUUCUCCAAAUGCCAAACAAAAAAUCAAGCUCUGGAUGCUCUGAAAGUGUAAAUAACAGUAUUACUUGUAACUGAUUUCGUAUUUUGAAUUUUUGAGGCUAAUGGAAAACGAUGUAGCUGAUUAAUCUGAAAUUAAUUUCUUCCAAGAUCCCUAGCUUUCCUUUUUUUUUCUUUCCUUUUACGCUCGGUUUCAGAUUCUUAUUUGAAUCUGAAUAUAUUACGUUUUGUGUUUGUUUAUGAUACCUACAACACUGUUUUUAGUUCAACAAAUUCAACCUCACCUUGCGUUUUUGAAUCUGUUUUUGUUAAUAAGCUUGAACCUAGGUUUUUCUUAGCAUCAGCAGCGUCUUUUUUUUUUUUUUUUCUUUCUGAAGUUCGUUAUACGUUUUUGUUGAUUUCUCACUUUGCGUUUUUGAAGAUAAUAACUCUGUUUUUGUUAAUAAGCUUGCACCUCAGUUUGUUUUAGAAUCUGUAGUCCUUUUAUCUGCAUUUCCUCUUUUCUUUUUACUUGCUAUCUGCUUCUUAUUUUGUAUAUACUGUGUGUUUACUUCGUUUCUAAUGCCUAUAAAACCUUUCUGUUUUUAGUUUAACAAGCUACAUAUGUUUCCAUGCUUUUACGUCGUUUGUGAUUCGUUGUCAUAGUAAUCACUUUUACUCUGAAAUCUACUUUUUUUUGGAAAAUGUUAGCUGUUUUUGUGUUUGUUUAAAGUGUCUGAUAUAUGUUUCUCAUUUAUAUGUAUUAUGCACAUAUGCAUCGGUUGAUAUUGAUAUAGCCCUGGCAUGACGGAUAAUGCUAAAUUCGAAGAUCACACGCCCUUAACAACUUGCCUGUUGGAUUCCUUUUUGCCUGAAUUUGACGAUUCUGGAGCUUUCCGUCGGUCAGGCUUGCCUUUUGUGUUUGAAAAAAACUCGAGCUACCCCAGCAAUAUGCAGGAAAAUAGCGAAUACUUCAUCUGAAUUUGAGACUUGUAUCUCAGGCGAACCGGAACAGGCGAAAUAAUGCAGGAGAAAGGGGCUUACAUUAAUCACGAUGACACAAGUCUAUUACUUGCUUUGGGAAAUUUGAAGGAAUUACAUGCUUUGGCCGUGAGACUAAAUGAACGGCAGAGGGAAAAGUUGAGUUUUAUUGAUCAGCAAGUAUAUGAGCUGCUCACUCACUUUGUCUUCAGGGAAGCGAGAGAUAAUAUUUUUUGACAUUUAAUGUUGAUGUAAGUAAGAAAUUUUAUUUUUUCUUCUUCGUCGUUUGCACAUGUUGUAUUGCCAAAUGGGACUGCUCAAGGGCAGCCAGUUUCAUAUCACCAGGGCGCACCUUGUAAUGGAGGUAUAAAUGAUGGAGGAGGUGCUGGAGGUUCUCAUGCAAAUGGGGAUACAAGUGGUGGUGGUGGUGAUGCAGAUGCAGGUGGAGGUGGCGGAGGUGGAGGUGUGAAUUUCAUAUUUUAUGUUCCAGUAGUCCUAAGGACCCCUGGAAACUAGCAGGUCCGAGCCACUUUCCAUUGUUUCCACUUUAUAUACGAAUUGGGAUCAGUUCCUCAACGUCCUCCACUGCCAUUGGUGUAACUAUGCAGAUGAAUUGCCACGUCCGAAUAUUACUCGGGAGACGGUGUGACCAGGUUAAAGGGUUAUCUUUCGACGUCAUCUAAAUGAGAAUGAGCCUCAACCUGUUGGAGAGGAUUAUGAGGAAAUGGAUUUUGAAGGUGAUUGGCCUUCCUUUCAUCACAUGAUUCGGCAGGUUAUUGUUGAACCACUGGCGGCUUGAUAUGAAAAGUGACAAGGGGAGCCUUCUUAGAUUAUUUUUCCUUUGAACCUCGUUCUAGUUGGGAAAUUUUCAGAAUUUCGCUGGUAAUUUUUGAAAACUUCUAGAUAAAAAUUAUCAUUGAUGGCAAGAAUUUUAAUACAAAUCGGCUAAAAUAGAUCAAUUCAAUGUGAGCUUUGGCUCGCUACUAUACCGAUCAGAUCUUUUAUCACAGAUCAAGAACCAACCACACGAUUGAACUACUGCAAUAUACUUAGUAUUUUCUAGAAA
Molecule: long non-coding RNA, 2383 nt
Organism: Ricinus communis (castor bean)
Lineage: Eukaryota; Viridiplantae; Streptophyta; Magnoliopsida; Malpighiales; Euphorbiaceae
Exons: 3
Source: RefSeq, a predicted model, not a curated record